This 139-nucleotide small nuclear RNA is filed under the name Trifolium pratense (red clover). RNAcentral describes it as "snRNA U4". It matches the Rfam family "U4 spliceosomal RNA". Rfam says of the family: U4 small nuclear RNA (U4 snRNA) is a component of the major U2-dependent spliceosome. The structure of U4 snRNA from yeast and human has been reported. U4 snRNA presents a k-turn RNA motif in the 5p-SL related to recognition of Snu13 protein. Lineage: Eukaryota; Viridiplantae; Streptophyta; Magnoliopsida; Fabales; Fabaceae. The record is from RNAcentral.
AUCUUUGCGCUUGGGACAAUGACGCAGCUAAUGAGGUACUAACCGAGGCGCGUCUAUUGCUGGUUGAAAACUAUUUCUAAACCCCCUCUUAGGCUUGGGGUAAAGUCCUACAAAAAAAAGAAGUGAUAUUUUUCAAAAA